RNAcentral lists this ribosomal RNA (403 nucleotides) under uncultured bacterium. RNAcentral describes it as "bacterial SSU rRNA". It matches the Rfam family "Bacterial small subunit ribosomal RNA", at positions 357 to 775 of the family's 1533-position model. The record is from RNAcentral.
GGGAAUAUUGGGCAAUGGGGGCCACCCUGACCCAGCGACGCCGCGUGAGGGAAGAAGGCCUUAGGGUCGUAAACCUCUGUUGUGUGGGAAGAAGGAAGUGACGGUACCACACGAGGAAGUCCCGGCUAACUACGUGCCAGCAGCCGCGGUAAUACGUAGGGGACGAGCGUUGUCCGGAAUUACUGGGCGUAAAGGGCGCGUAGGCGGUCAUUUAAGUCAGCUGUGAAAUGGUCCGGCUCAACCGGAUCAUGCGGUUGAAACUGGAUGACUGGAGUGCUGGAGAGGCAAGUGGAAUUCCCAGUGUAGCGGUGAAAUGCGUAGAUAUUGGGAAGAACACCGGUGGCGAAGGCGACUUGCUGGCCAGCAACUGACGCUGAGGCGCGAAAGCCAGGGGAGCAAACGG